ACGAAACGUACGCUUUAGCAGCUUAGUCUGCUAGACCUCACACCUUGCUGUCUGUGGAGGGGCUCAAAGCCGCAAGGCUGAGAUGAGUGAGGUAAAUUACACAGAAUCGUGCCGGUCAGGGUCACUUUGUCCGGAGCUAAAACCAAGGUGACUCGUCCUUUACCAGCCCGCCGGUUGGCGUGUACGGGAUCAAAUUAAACAGCCAGGCUAAGUAUGUAGAACUAUCUGUAGAGGACUUGCGGACGCGGGUUCAAUUCCCGCCGUCUCCACCA
Molecule: transfer-messenger RNA, 272 nt
Filed under: Gallionellales bacterium RIFCSPHIGHO2_02_FULL_57_16
Lineage: Bacteria; Pseudomonadati; Pseudomonadota; Betaproteobacteria; Nitrosomonadales
Description: partial transfer-messenger RNA
Rfam family: transfer-messenger RNA
About the family: Bacterial tmRNA, also known as 10Sa RNA or SsrA, is named for its dual tRNA and mRNA-like properties. Its role is to liberate the mRNA from a stalled ribosome.
Source: RNAcentral